Molecule: long non-coding RNA, 1725 nt
Organism: Sapajus apella (tufted capuchin)
Lineage: Eukaryota; Metazoa; Chordata; Mammalia; Primates; Cebidae
Exons: 2
Source: RefSeq, a predicted model, not a curated record
GACCAGCCAGGAAUAACAUAUAGUGAAACCCCAUCUCUACUAAAAAAUACAAAAAUUCGUUGGCUGUGGUGACCCACACCUGGAAUCCCCGCUACCUGGGACACAGAGGCAGGAGAAUAGCUUGAACCUGGGAGGCCGAGGUUGCAGUACGGAGAUCAUGCCUCUCUACUCCAGCCUGGGCAAAAGAGCGAGAUUCCAUCUCUCAAAAAACCAAAACUAACAACAGCAACAACAACAAAAACCCCUUUAGACACAAAAGUCCAAAUUUUCAAAAGUAUACCUAUUUCAAUUGUGACUAAAAACCAACAAGCCUUUUCAUGGCUUAAAACCAAAAAGCCUUUUAUGGCUUAACCAUGGGCUCAAGAAGUGCCUCCAAAAGAGGGUGCAAAAACACAGUGUCCCCUCCUCACUGAGAUUGCUCCGGCGAUAGCCUUAGAAUGACCAGACCUUUUUAAACAAGGCAAUAAAGUUGGCACAAUUAGGACAAACUCCCCAAAGAGCUGGCACAGUGGGACAAAGAGAUAAACUUUGUUUCUGGAUUCCUAGCCAGCUGGCUAGCCGCCUCAAGCAAGCCUGACGACCUGUGAUUUCUCUUAGCAAAGACCAGAGAAUAUCCUCACUGGUCCCCAAGACAAGCUCUCAAGACAUAAAACAAGAUGAAAGCAAAAUCUUAUGAUUUUCCUCCUUAUGACAAACUACGCAAAAGACAGAGACAAGGAAAACAAGGACCACUCCUGGGAGGCUGUGAUUAAAAACCAGUGGGUACUCAGAACCAAAUUCACAAGAGUCACAGUUCGAAGAAUUAAGUCUCAUAAAUGUUUUCUCCUACCAAUCUGAAUUGGAAAGAAGACAAAAAACCAUGUUUACCUCCCUUUCUUGACUGGCCACUAUGGACAGAGAUCUAAGAGCUGACUAGGCCGUGCUCCCUUCACGCCCAGCUGUCCUGUAGAAUGGCAGCCUCAAUGUUUACCAAGCUAUACCUCCUUCCUUUGAUGCCUUUAGUUCAACUAAAAGAGGAUACAAGUUUCCAAAUUAACUGCAUUACAAACAUGAAGAUGGGAAAGUGAACAGAGGGAAGAUGAGGACAGGCCAACCCCAAGGGCCGGCGCUGCUGCCUUAUCUUGCUCCUGAAGCCCCUUCCUCUCCUGGCCUCUCUGGAGAAGCUCCCCUAAAGUUCCUCUCCCCACCCCCAGGGCUAGGCUACAGCCACCUCCUAGGUAGACAGUGGGAGACUACAGAACCACAGGCCCCUCCACAUACCCUUGGCCUUGACAGGGCUGCGAUUGUCCGCCCACUCUCUACUCCGCCUGCAGUCGGGGAUCACCUUUGGCUUCCCUCUGGGCUCCAUACCCUGCCCUGUUCCCCUUCUUGCCACAUCAGCACUGUUCCUUAGUUGACAAAAGCCUCCCUAUGCUUCUGAACACCUCCUACCCCUAGUUAAAUCGGGAUAGGCUCUGCCCAGCUCUGGCCCUAGGUGUCUCUCUCUGUCUCACAGCCUUUCGUGAGAAUUCCUAUUCAUUCCCAGACUGCACUCAGCACAAAACGAACCUUCCCGUUUAUUCCAAUAGACGCCGUGCCUGCUGGUGGGAGCAUUUCUCUCCCUUUCUCAGAUAGUUUAGGGCAGAACCAUCCUUGCACAAUCUCAUUCUCGUCUCCAUUUUGGUUGCCUCUUACAAAACCAUAGCUCAGCUUCUUUUUUAUUCAAUAUUAAAGCAGAAAAGUCAG